This 271-nucleotide ribosomal RNA is filed under the name uncultured prokaryote. RNAcentral describes it as "partial 16S ribosomal RNA". It matches the Rfam family "Bacterial small subunit ribosomal RNA", at positions 524 to 794 of the family's 1533-position model. The record is from RNAcentral.
GACGUAGGGUCCGAGCGUUGUCCGGAUUCACUGGGCGUAAAGGGCAAGUAGGCGGUUGUCUAAGUUGGGCGUGACAACUCCCGGCUCAACUGGGAGAGGUCGUUCAAUACUGGAUGACUGGAGGGCAGGAGAGGAAAGUGGAAUUCCUGGUGUAGCGGUGGAAUGCUCAGAUACCAGGAGGAACACCAGUGGCGAAGGCGACUUUCUGGCCUGCACCUGACGCUGAGAGGCGAAAGCUAGGGGAGCGAACGGGCUUAGAUACCCGUGUAGU